RNAcentral lists this transfer RNA (69 nucleotides) under Ictidomys tridecemlineatus (thirteen-lined ground squirrel). RNAcentral describes it as "Spermophilus tridecemlineatus (thirteen-lined ground squirrel) tRNA". It matches the Rfam family "tRNA". Rfam says of the family: Transfer RNA (tRNA) molecules are approximately 80 nucleotides in length. Their secondary structure includes four short double-helical elements and three loops (D, anti-codon, and T loops). Further hydrogen bonds mediate the characteristic L-shaped molecular structure. tRNAs have two regions of fundamental functional importance: the anti-codon, which is responsible for specific mRNA codon recognition, and the 3' end, to which the tRNAs corresponding amino acid is attached (by aminoacyl-tRNA synthetases). tRNAs cope with the degeneracy of the genetic code in two manners: having more than one tRNA (with a specific anti-codon) for a particular amino acid; and 'wobble' base-pairing, i.e. permitting non-standard base-pairing at the 3rd anti-codon position. The record is from Rfam by way of RNAcentral. Lineage: Eukaryota; Metazoa; Chordata; Mammalia; Rodentia; Sciuridae.
GGGGUUGUGACUCAGUGGUAGAGUGCUUACUUAGCAUGCAUAAGGCACUGGGUUCGAUCCCCAGCACCA